Non-coding RNA from Acanthosepion pharaonis, 114 nucleotides. Lineage: Eukaryota; Metazoa; Mollusca; Cephalopoda; Sepiida; Sepiidae. The record is from the annotation of a GenBank genome assembly.
UUACGGCCACAUCACGUUGAAACACCGGUUCCAGUACGAUCACCGAAGUUAAGCAACGUCGAGACUGGUCAGUACUUAGGUGGGUGACUGAUUGAGAAUAUCAGGUGCUGCAAG